This is a long non-coding RNA of Oncorhynchus tshawytscha (Chinook salmon), 665 nucleotides long. The record is from Ensembl. Lineage: Eukaryota; Metazoa; Chordata; Actinopteri; Salmoniformes; Salmonidae.
UACACUCUAACCACUAGGCUACCUGCCGCCCCUACACUCUAACCACUAGGGUACCUGCCGCCCCUACACUCUAACCACUAGGGUACCUGCCGCCCCUACACUCUAACCACUAGGGUACCUGCCGCCCCUACACUCUAACCACUAGGGUACCUGCCGCCCCUACACUCUAACCACUAGACUACCUGCCGCCCCUACACUCUAACCACUAGGCUACCUGCCGUCCCUACACUCUAACCACUAGGGUACCUGCCGCCCCUACACUCUAACCACUAGGGUACCUGCCGUCCCUACACUCUAACCACUAGGGUACCUGCCGCCCCUACACUCUAACCACUAGGGUACCUGCCGCCCCUACACUCUAACCACUAGGGUACCUGCCGCCCCUACACUCUAACCACUAGGGUACCUGCCCCCCUACACUCUAACCACUAGGGUACCUGCCGCCCCUACACUCUAACCACUAGGGUACCUGCCGCCCCUACACUCUAACCACUAGGGUACCUGCCGCCCCUACACUCUAACCACUAGACUACCUGCCGCCCCUACACUCUAACCACUAAGGGUACCUGCCGCCCCUACACUCUAACCACUAGGGUACCUGCCGCCCCUACACUUUAACCACUAGGGUACCUGCCGCCCCUACAUACAUUUCACCCUUACUUAAC